This 685-nucleotide ribosomal RNA is filed under the name uncultured Gammaproteobacteria bacterium. RNAcentral's name for it is "bacterial SSU rRNA". It matches the Rfam family "Bacterial small subunit ribosomal RNA", at positions 8 to 691 of the family's 1533-position model. The record is from RNAcentral. Lineage: Bacteria; Pseudomonadati; Pseudomonadota; Gammaproteobacteria.
AGAGUUUGAUCCUGGCUCAGAUUGAACGCUGGCGGCAGGCCUAACACAUGCAAGUCGAGCGGUAACAUUUCUAGCUUGCUAGAAGAUGACGAGCGGCGGACGGGUGAGUAAUGCUUGGGAACAUGCCUUGAGGUGGGGGACAACAGUUGGAAACGACUGCUAAUACCGCAUAAUGUCUACGGACCAAAGGGGGCUUCGGCUCUCGCCUUUAGAUUGGCCCAAGUGGGAUUAGCUAGUUGGUGAGGUAAUGGCUCACCAAGGCGACGAUCCCUAGCUGGUUUGAGAGGAUGAUCAGCCACACUGGGACUGAGACACGGCCCAGACUCCUACGGGAGGCAGCAGUGGGGAAUAUUGCACAAUGGGCGCAAGCCUGAUGCAGCCAUGCCGCGUGUGUGAAGAAGGCCUUCGGGUUGUAAAGCACUUUCAGUCAGGAGGAAAGGUUAGUAGUUAAUACCUGCUAGCUAUGACGUUACUGACAGAAGAAGCACCGGCUAACUCCGUGCCAGCAGCCGCGGUAAUACGGAGGGUGCGAGCGUUAAUCGGAAUUACUGGGCGUAAAGCGUACGCAGGCGGUUUGUUAAGCGAGAUGUGAAAGCCCCGGGCUCAACCUGGGAACUGCAUUUCGAACUGGCAAACUAGAGUGUGAUAGAGGGUGGUAAAUUUCAGGUGUAGCGGUGAAAUGCGU